ACGUAGGGGGCAAGCGUUAUCCGGAAUUAUUGGGCGUAAAGAGUGCGUAGGUGGUUUUAUAAGCGCAGGGUGAAAGGCAAUGGCUCAACUAUUGUAAGCCUUGCGAACUGUGAGACUUGAGUGCAGGAGAGGAAAGUGGAAUUCCUAGUGUAGCGGUGAAAUGCGUAGAUAUUAGGAGGAACACCAGUGGCGAAGGCGACUUUCUGGACUGUUACUGACACUGAGGCACGAAAGCGUGGGGAGCAAACAG
RNAcentral lists this ribosomal RNA (250 nucleotides) under uncultured prokaryote. RNAcentral describes it as "partial 16S rRNA". It matches the Rfam family "Bacterial small subunit ribosomal RNA", at positions 525 to 775 of the family's 1533-position model. The record is from RNAcentral.